CACCUGAAUUUUUGAUGCGUUGAGGGGGGCAUAGCUGCGGAAUCUUCCUGGGGGAGAGCCCCACCGAACUCUGCGGUCCGGGCUUCUCUGCCUGCGUGCUCGGGGAGGAGUCUGGGCGUGCUUGUGCCCGGGAGGAGUCCGAGAAUGUGGCCGAGCUUCACUCGGCCCUCUUUCAACUGCAGGCUUGCUGGAGUCGCCCGCCUGCCGCUCCUUCGCAGCUUCCUCAUCCUUCAGCUUGAAGGCUUCCUCCGCUCGGGCAU
RNAcentral lists this long non-coding RNA (260 nucleotides) under Elaeis guineensis (African oil palm). Its description in RNAcentral is "long non-coding RNA (EGUI_LNC046729)". The record is from RNAcentral. Lineage: Eukaryota; Viridiplantae; Streptophyta; Magnoliopsida; Arecales; Arecaceae.